This is a long non-coding RNA of Carassius gibelio (silver crucian carp), 2606 nucleotides long. RefSeq lists it as uncharacterized. NCBI's taxonomy places the organism in Eukaryota, Metazoa, Chordata, Actinopteri, Cypriniformes, Cyprinidae. The transcript has 6 exons. The record is from RefSeq and is a predicted model, not a curated record.
ACCCAUUUUAAAAUCAGACAUUGCAUUACCAUGUAAAUGGUACAUCAAUAUCAUGUUACAAAAUGUUUUCAGUCAUGAAUUAUAAAAAUGUAGGUUUGUAUCAUGCACAUUGAAGUCCAUCUUCAAAAACGUAAGUGACAGUUAAGAGGUUAAAGAUAUAUAGCACAAGUAAAUUUUUUUAAUCAAAACAUUUUAAAAUGAAACUAAAAUUUUAAAUUCGACAUAGUGUUCAUUAUUGGAUCUUUUCUGGCUGUACAGCUUUGUAAAAUGUGUUCAUAUGAUCAGAAUAAGAGGAACUCAGACCUCAAGACUAGUUGAUUAAAAAUAAAGUUGUCUAAGAAAAGGGAAGUUAGUUAAGAGAAAGCUCUGUUAUACUAGCAUGCAUUUUUAUUUUUAUUUAUUUUCAUUUAGGCCACUCAUUCUUGUGUAUAAUUCAGUGAAGGGCGCCAAGGGUGUCAACAAAAAGCAACAAAUGCAUGUUGAAAGACACCAAUCACCCAGAACCAAUGUAAAUCUGCAGACAGAAUACUGGUGAAUAUUGAUUCAGUUAUUGAUGAGAACAAACAACAUUUGUACACUGUCAGGAAACAAGCUUUUCUCCAAAACUUGUAUGCCGUCAUAAAAGAGUCACCCAAAAUCCUCAGGUUGUGAUUAUGAGGCUGUUCACACCAACAUGGAUCUCACCAUCUAUCGAAUUGUCUGAUGAUAAUGAACAGCACAACGUUUACCAGUGUUUUGUUAUGCUCAAAAUUAUGUACAUCAGAUUGUACAUUUUUAAAACUCUCUUUUUGAGUCUAUAGCUUGCAUUGACUGAUUUUAUAUAUUGUGUCUGCUCUGUUCUGUUUUUAUCAACACUUUCCAGCAUGUUUGAGUGUAAACUAUAAAUACUGUACAUAUAAAAGUAGAAUCAAUUCUAGCACUGAUUUUUUUUGCAUUUUAAUUUUAAUUAUCAAUAUAUUUGACAGUGAGUUAGUAUAAUAUUAAAUAACAAAGCAUUGUAUUGUAAAUGUGCAUGCAUAAUUGUUUUACUAAUUUUGUUUCUGAUUUAACAUAUUGCGAUUAAACAACACAAUGCACUAAACUUAGCAAACCAAGAGCAAAAAGCAGACAGGCUGCUGAGAACCUGUGUGCAGCUUAUAUAUGACUCUAAGUAGAACAGGUAUAUUUGCAGCAAUAACCAACAAUACAUUGUGUGGGUCAAAAUUAUAAAUUUUUCUUUUACGCCAAAAAUCAUUGGGAUAUUAAGUACAGAUUAUGUUCCUUGAAUAUAUUUUGUCAAUUAUAUUAAAUUAUAAAUUUAUCAAAACUUCAUUUUUGUUAAGUUUUAUCCAUUGCCAAGAACAUCAUUAAGACAACUCAAUAUUUGUAUUAUAUUUAUUUAUUUACUUAUUUAUGGCCGGCAGCCAUAUCACCCUGGAUCCCAAGACCGGUUGCCCACUGAAGCUGAGCAGAGUUGAGCCUGGUUAGUACCUGGAUGGGAGACCUCCUAGGAAAACUAGGUUGCUGCUGGAAGAGGUGCUAGUAUGGCCAGAAGGGGGGCUCACCCUGUGGUCUGUGUGGGUCCUAGUGACCCAGUGUAGCCAUGGGGACACUAUAACUGUCAACAAGCACCGUCCUUCGGAUGAGACGAUGAGAGGUCCUGACAUGUGGUCAGUAACAAUCCCAGGGUGACUUUCGAAAAGAGUAGAGGUGUGACCUCGGCAUCCUUGCUAAAUUUGCCCAUUGGAAUCUAACCAUCCUGGCCUCAAUUGGCUGCAUCACUCUGUCUCCUCUCCACCAAUAAGAUGGCGUUCUGGCGCAAUAUGGCUACCGUCGCAUCAUCCAGGUGGAUGCUGCACACUGGUGGUGGAUGAGGAUACCACUGACCAGGGGCGGAUCUACUUGGGAGGCAUAAAAUGAAGCCUUGCCACCCCAGUUGGCAGCAACUAAUUAAAAGUUACGGCCAAUUUGAAAAUUUACAAGCGCGAAUCUCCAGUGUCCGACUGUAGUAAAUGCAGCCAGCACGAGAGGACGCCAGAGCGGCAAGAGACUGAUUUGUCCAAGUAGGAAAACUUUGGGAACCAGGAGUCGCAAGGAGACAGAGGUGGAAAGAUAUGGCUUAUCUAUCUAUCUAUCUGUCUAUCAGGAAAUGAAGCUAUAAUGAAAGCACAGUGCUAGCAUAGUUGUAAUGUUAACUUUGAGAUGAUAAAUAUCAGGUUACGUUAUUUCGCUAACUAAUGUUGAGUGGUGUAGUCUAGCCUACUAAGUGGUACGUUACCCACUUUUAAAAUGCGUUAGGAUCCGUAACAACAUCGUUUUGUGUCAGAACUUUCACACUUUUGUUCAUAAAUUCACCCCAUCUGUGUUUACAUAACGACAGGGAUUGAAUUGACGGAUUCCGUCACGAAUGGCACUUGCUGUAUAAAGCAGAACGUCACGGAAUUCGAUAACACUUAAUCUUUCAUAAUGAUCUCAGUUACAUGUCGAUGCACACUGUAUGCAUUAGUGAGUGUGGGGGUGCUGAUGGGGUAUGGUCACUUAUUCCUUAUAUGAACGAUUUCAAAUGCAAGACAUUGAUUGCAUGAGAUUAAGCCUGUGCCCUUUUGUGGUGUGAACAUACUAUUUAU